This 85-nucleotide microRNA precursor is filed under the name Mus musculus (house mouse). RNAcentral describes it as "predicted gene, 55550 (ENSMUSG00002076641.1)". The record is from RNAcentral. Lineage: Eukaryota; Metazoa; Chordata; Mammalia; Rodentia; Muridae.
UGUGUAUGUGUGUGUGUGUAUGUGUAUAUGUAUGUGUAUAUGUAUACACACACACACACACACACACACACACACACACACAUAU